RNAcentral lists this ribosomal RNA (468 nucleotides) under uncultured bacterium. RNAcentral's name for it is "partial 16S ribosomal RNA". It matches the Rfam family "Bacterial small subunit ribosomal RNA", at positions 28 to 507 of the family's 1533-position model. The record is from RNAcentral.
GACGAACGCUGGCGGCGUGCUUAACACAUGCAAGUCGAACGGAAAGGCCCUGCUUUUGUGGGGUGCUCGAGUGGCGAACGGGUGAGUAACACGUGAGUAACCUGCCCUUGACUUUGGGAUAACUUCAGGAAACUGGGGCUAAUACCGGAUAGGAGCUCCUGCUGCAUGGUGGGGGUUGGAAAGUUUCGGCGGUUGGGGAUGGACUCGCGGCUUAUCAGCUUGUUGGUGGGGUAGUGGCUUACCAAGGCUUUGACGGGUAGCCGGCCUGAGAGGGUGACCGGCCACAUUGGGACUGAGAUACGGCCCAGACUCCUACGGGAGGCAGCAGUGGGGAAUAUUACACAAUGGGCGGAAGCCUGAUGCAGCAACGCCGCGUGCGGGAUGACGGCCUUCGGGUUGUAAACCGCUUUCGCCUGUGACGAAGCGUGAGUGACGGUAAUGGGUAAGGAAGCACCGGCUAACUACGUG